RNAcentral lists this ribosomal RNA (341 nucleotides) under uncultured bacterium. Its description in RNAcentral is "bacterial SSU rRNA". It matches the Rfam family "Bacterial small subunit ribosomal RNA", at positions 1038 to 1381 of the family's 1533-position model. The record is from RNAcentral.
GUGGUGCAUGGUUGUCGUCAGCUCGUGUCGUGAGAUGUUGGGUUAAGUCCCGCAACGAGCGCAACCCCUGCUGCCAGUUGCCAUCAUUAAGUUGGGCACUCUGGCGGGACUGCCGGUGAYAAAUCGGAGGAAGGUGGGGAUGACGUCAAAUCAUCAUGCCCCUUAUGUCUUGGGCUACACACGUACUACAAUGGCCGUUACAGAAGGAAGCGAAGCCGCGAGGCGGAGCGAAUCCCMAAAGGCGGCCCCAGUUCGGAUUGCAGGCUGCAACUCGCCUGCAUGAAGUCGGAAUUGCUAGUAAUUGCAGGUCAGCAUACUGCAGUGAAUACGUUCCCGGGUCU